UUUUAUUUGAGAGUUUGAUCCUGGCUCAGGAUGAACGCUGGCGGCGUGCCUAACACAUGCACGUUGAGCGAUUUACUUCGGUAAAGAGCGGCGGACGGGUGAGUAACGCGUGGGUAACCUACCCUGUACACACGGAUAACAUACCGAAAGGUAUGCUAAUACGGGAUAAUAUAUUUGAGAGGCAUCUCU
RNAcentral lists this ribosomal RNA (189 nucleotides) under Clostridioides difficile. RNAcentral describes it as "partial 16S ribosomal RNA". It matches the Rfam family "Bacterial small subunit ribosomal RNA", at positions 1 to 196 of the family's 1533-position model. Lineage: Bacteria; Bacillati; Bacillota; Clostridia; Peptostreptococcales; Peptostreptococcaceae. The record is from RNAcentral.